AGUGAACGCUGGCGGUAGGCCUAACACAUGCAAGUCGAACGGCAGCACAGUAAGAGCUUGCUCUUACGGGUGGCGAGUGGCGGACGGGUGAGGAAUACAUCGGAAUCUACUUUUUCGUGGGGGAUAACGUAGGGAAACUUACGCUAAUACCGCAUACGACCUACGGGUGAAAGCAGGGGAUCUUCGGACCUUGCGCGAUUGAAUGAGCCGAUGUCGGAUUAGCUAGUUGGCGGGGUAAAGGCCCACCAAGGCGACGAUCCGUAGCUGGUCUGAGAGGAUGGUCGACCCAAACGGAACUGAGACACGGGCCAAGCUCCUACGGGGGGCAGCAGUAGGGAAAUUUCCGCAAUGGGCGAAAGCCUGACGGAGCAACUCCGCGGGGGUGAAAAAGGGCUUCGGGUUUUAAAACCCUUUUUUUUGGGAAAAAAAAAUGUGAGAGUAACUCCCCACGUUUUUGCGGGACCCAAACAGAAAACCACGGGUAACUUCGUG
This 492-nucleotide ribosomal RNA is filed under the name uncultured bacterium. Its description in RNAcentral is "partial 16S ribosomal RNA". It matches the Rfam family "Bacterial small subunit ribosomal RNA", at positions 29 to 507 of the family's 1533-position model. The record is from RNAcentral.